ACUCGAGCGGCGAACGGGUGAGUAACACGUGAGCAACCUGCCCCUGACUCUGGGAUAAGCCCGGGAAACUGGGUCUAAUACCGGAUACGACCUCUGCCUGCAUGGGUGGGGGUGGAAAGUUUUUCGGUUGGGGAUGGGCUCGCGGCCUAUCAGCUUGUUGGUGGGGUGAUGGCCUACCAAGGCGACGACGGGUAACCGGCCUGAGAGGGCGACCGGUCACACUGGGACUGAGACACGGCCCAGACUCCUACGGGAGGCAGCAGUGGGGAAUAUUGCGCAAUGGGCGGAAGCCUGACGCAGCGACGCCGCGUGGGGGAUGACGGCCUUCGGGUUGUAAACCCCUUUCAGCAGGGACGAAGCGCAAGUGACGGUACCUGCAGAAGAAGCGCCGGCUAACUACGUGCCAGCAGCCGCGGUAAUACGUAGGGCGCAAGCGUUGUCCGGAAUUAUUGGGCGUAAAGAGCUCGUAGGCGGUUUGUCGCGUCCGUCGUGAAAGCCCACAGCUUAACUGUGGGUCUGCGGUGGAUACGGGCAGACUAGAGGCAGGUAGGGGAGAACGGAAUUCCCGGUGUAGCGGUGAAAUGCGCAGAUAUCGGGAGGA
This 601-nucleotide ribosomal RNA is filed under the name Spirillospora sp. YIM 75477. RNAcentral's name for it is "bacterial SSU rRNA". It matches the Rfam family "Bacterial small subunit ribosomal RNA", at positions 89 to 705 of the family's 1533-position model. The record is from RNAcentral. Lineage: Bacteria; Bacillati; Actinomycetota; Actinomycetes; Streptosporangiales; Thermomonosporaceae.